CAAUAGCGUAUAUUAAAAUUGCUGCAGUUAAAAAGCUCGUAGUUGGAUCUUGGGCGCAGGCUGGCGGUCCGCCGCAAGGCGCGCCACUGCCCGCCUGGCCUUCCUCUCGGUCUCCGCCCGGUUCUCUUGACUGAGUGCCGGGCGCGGCCGAAACGUUUACUUUGAAAAAAUUGGAGUGUUCAAAGCAGGCCGGCCGCCUGGACAGCAGAGCAUGGAAUAAUGGAAUAGGACCUCGGUUCUAUUGCGUUGGUUUUCGGAACUCGAGGUAAUGAUUAAGAGGGACUGACGGGGGCAUUCGUAUUGCGGUGUGAGAGGUGAAAUUCUUGGAUCGCCGCAAGACGACCGACUGCGAAAGCAUUUGCCAAGAAUGUUUUCAUUAA
This 380-nucleotide ribosomal RNA is filed under the name uncultured eukaryote. RNAcentral's name for it is "partial 18S ribosomal RNA". It matches the Rfam family "Eukaryotic small subunit ribosomal RNA", at positions 592 to 976 of the family's 1831-position model. The record is from RNAcentral.